This is a non-coding RNA of Triticum aestivum (bread wheat), 107 nucleotides long. Lineage: Eukaryota; Viridiplantae; Streptophyta; Magnoliopsida; Poales; Poaceae. The record is from Rfam.
UUUCUACUCCAUCCGUCCGAAAAUACUUGUCAUCAAAAUGGAUAAAAAGAGAUGUAUCCAUUUUAUCCAUUUUGAUGACAAGUAUUUCCGGACGGAGGGAGUAUUUG